GGACUACAAGGGUAUCUAAUCCCGUUCGCUCCCCUGGCUUUCGCGUCUCAGCGUCAGCAGACGUCCAGGACCUCGCUUUCGCCACGGGCGUUCCUUCCGAUCUCAACGCAUUUCACCGCUCCACCGGAAGUUCCAGGUCCCCCUACGUCCCUCGAGGGCGGUCGUAUCCGUGCCCGUUCCCCGGUUGAGCCGGGGGAUUUCAGCACCGGACGUGCCGUCCCGCCUACACGCGCUUUAAGCCCAGUGAUUCCGAAUAACGUUCGCACGGUUCGUCUUACCGCGGCUGCUGGCAC
RNAcentral lists this ribosomal RNA (293 nucleotides) under uncultured Planctomycetota bacterium. Its description in RNAcentral is "uncultured planctomycete partial 16S ribosomal RNA". Lineage: Bacteria; Pseudomonadati; Planctomycetota. The record is from RNAcentral.